UACGUAGGGCGCAAGCGUUGUCCGGAAUUAUUGGGCGUAAAGAGCGUGUAGGCGGUUAUACAGGUCCGCUGUGAAAACUGGAGGCUUAACCUCCAGACGUCGGUGGAAACCGUAUAACUAGAGUCCGGAAGAGGAGAGUGGAAUUCCUGGUGUAGCGGUGAAAUGCGCAGAUAUCAGGAAGAACACCCGUGGCGAAGGCGGCUCUCUGGGACGGUACUGACGCUGAGACGCGAAAGCGUGGGGAGCGAACAGG
This 253-nucleotide ribosomal RNA is filed under the name uncultured bacterium. RNAcentral's name for it is "partial 16S ribosomal RNA". It matches the Rfam family "Bacterial small subunit ribosomal RNA", at positions 524 to 776 of the family's 1533-position model. The record is from RNAcentral.